Molecule: non-coding RNA, 108 nt
Filed under: Sphingomonas sp.
Lineage: Bacteria; Pseudomonadati; Pseudomonadota; Alphaproteobacteria; Sphingomonadales; Sphingomonadaceae
Also listed under: 1 other name
Description: TPP sequence
Rfam family: TPP riboswitch aptamer (THI element)
About the family: Vitamin B(1) in its active form thiamin pyrophosphate (TPP) is an essential coenzyme that is synthesised by coupling of pyrimidine and thiazole moieties in bacteria. The previously detected thiamin-regulatory element, thi box was extended, resulting in a new, highly conserved RNA secondary structure, the THI element, which is widely distributed in eubacteria and also occurs in some archaea.
Source: RNAcentral
AGUCCAUCCCCGGGGGGCUGCGCCUGAGCAGCUGAGAGGUGACUGACGUCACGACCCGCCGAACCUGAUCCCGUUAGCGCGGGCGGAGGGAGGGAAUGGUGUCCGCGC